ACAUGCAAGUCGAGCGAACAGACGAGGAGCUUGCUCCUCUGACGUUAGCGGCGGACGGGUGAGUAACACGUGGAUAACCUACCUAUAAGACUGGGAUAACUUCGGGAAACCGGAGCUAAUACCGGAUAAUAUAUUGAACCGCAUGGUUCAAUAGUGAAAGACGGUUUUGCUGUCACUUAUAGAUGGAUCCGCGCCACAUUAGCUAGUUGGUAAGGUAACAGCUUACCAAGGCAACGAUGCGUAGCCGACCUGAGAGGGUGAUCGGCCACACUGGAACUGAGACACGGUCCAGACUCCUACGGGAGGCAGCAGUAGGGAAUCUUCCGCAAUGGGCGAAAGCCUGACGGAGCAACGCCGCGUGAGUGAUGAAGGUCUUCGGAUCGUAAAACUCUGUUAUUAGGGAAGAACAAAUGUGUAAGUAACUAUGCACGUCUUGACGGUACCUAAUCAGAAAGCCACGGCUAACUACGUGCCAGCAGCCGCGGUAAUACGUAGGUGGCAAGCGUUAUCCGGAAUUAUUGGGCGUAAAGCGCGCGUAGGCGGUUUUUUAAGUCUGAUGUGAAAGCCCACGGCUCAACCGUGGAGGGUCAUUGGAAACUGGAAAACUUGAGUGCAGAAGAGGAAAGUGGAAUUCCAUGUGUAGCGGUGAAAUGCGCAGAGAUAUGGAGGAACACCAGUG
Molecule: ribosomal RNA, 679 nt
Filed under: uncultured Staphylococcus sp.
Lineage: Bacteria; Bacillati; Bacillota; Bacilli; Caryophanales; Staphylococcaceae
Description: bacterial SSU rRNA
Rfam family: Bacterial small subunit ribosomal RNA
Source: RNAcentral